Molecule: ribosomal RNA, 1275 nt
Filed under: metagenome
Description: SSU rRNA
Rfam family: Eukaryotic small subunit ribosomal RNA
Source: RNAcentral
CUUCAAGUCCGGUAAUUGGAAUGAGUACACUUUAAAUCCUUUAACGAGGAUCUAGUGGAGGGCAAGUCUGGUGCCAGCAGCCGCGGUAAUUCCAGCUCCACGAGCGUGUACGUAAGUUGUUGCAGUUAAAAAGCUCGUAGUUGGAUCUCAGGCCUGUGGCCGGUGGUCCGCCCGAUACGGGUGUGCACUGCCGUGCCCGGUCUACGUCUGGUUUACGUCCAUAGUGCCCUUAACCGGGUGCUUUGGAAUGCCAGAAGGUUUACUCUGAAAAAAUUAGAGUGCUUAAAGCAAGCCGUUGUGCUUGAAUACUGUUGCAUGGAAUAAUGGAAUAGGACCUCGGAUCUAUUUUGUUGGUUUUCGGAGUCGAGGUAAUGAUUAAGAGGGACAGACGGGGGCAUUCGUAUUGCGCCGUUAGAGGUGAAAUUCUUGGAUCGGCGCAAGACGAACAACUGCGAAAGCAUUUGCCUAGGAUGUUUUCAUUAAUCAAGAACGAAAGUCAGAGGUUCGAAGACGAUCAGAUACCGUCGUAGUUCUGACCAUAAACGAUGCCAACUGGCGAUCCGCCGUAGUCUGGCUUAAAGGACUCGGCGGGCAGCCUCCGGGAAACCUAAGUCUAUGGGUUCCGGGGGAAGUAUGGUUGCAAAGCUGAAACUUAAAGGAAUUGACGGAAGGGCACCACCAGGAGUGGAGCCUGCGGCUUAAUUUGACCCAACACGGGAAAACUCACCCGGCCAGGACACCGUAAGGAUUGACAGACUGAGAGCUCUUUCUUGAUUCGGUGGGUGGUGGUGCAUGGCCGUUCUUAGUUGGUGGAGCGAUUUGUCUGGUUAAUUCCUAUAACGAACGAGACUCUAGCCUGCUAAAUAGACGGGCGAUCCACUUGUGGGUCGACCCGAUUUGCUUCUUAGAGGGACAAGUGGCGUUCCUAGCCACGCGAAAUUGAGCAAUAACAGGUCUGUGAUGCCCUUAGAUGUCCGGGGCCGCACGCGCGCUACAAUGAGGGACGCAGUGUGCCCGCAAAGCCUGACCCGAAAGGGUUGGGUAAUCAUUUCAAUUUCCCUCGUAAUAGGGAUUGAGCAUUGUAACUAUUGCUCAUGAACGAGGAAUUCCUAGUAAGCGCGAGUCAUAAGCUUGCGUUGACUACGUCCCUGCCCUUUGUACACACCGCCCGUCGCUACUACCGACUGAAUGGUUUAGCGAGAUCCUCGGAUCGGGCCCUCAGGCUGCGCAAGCAUCUUAAGGGUCUGAGAAGAAGCUCAAGCUUGAUCAUUUAGA